CAGUCGCCGCGGGAAUACGGAGGGAGCUAGCGUUGUUCGGAAUUACUGGGCGUAAAGCGCGCGUAGGCGGUUACUCAAGUCAGAGGUGAAAGCCCGGGGCUCAACCCCGGAACUGCCUUUGAAACUAGGUGACUAGAAUCUUGGAGAGGUCAGUGGAAUUCCGAGUGUAGAGGUGAAAUUCGUAGAUAUUCGGAAGAACACUAGUGGCGAAGGCGACUGACUGGACAAGUAUUGACGCUGAGGUGCGAAAGCGUGGGGAGCAAACAGGAUUAGAUACCCGCGUAGUCCCUGUCUCUUAUAC
Molecule: ribosomal RNA, 301 nt
Filed under: uncultured bacterium
Lineage: Bacteria
Description: partial 16S ribosomal RNA
Rfam family: Bacterial small subunit ribosomal RNA
Source: RNAcentral